This 505-nucleotide ribosomal RNA is filed under the name uncultured bacterium. RNAcentral's name for it is "partial 16S ribosomal RNA". It matches the Rfam family "Bacterial small subunit ribosomal RNA", at positions 28 to 507 of the family's 1533-position model. The record is from RNAcentral.
GACGAACGCUGGCGGCGUGCCUAAUACAUGCAAGUAGAACGCACAGUUUAUACCGUUGCUUGCUACACCAUAGACUGUGAGUUGCGAACGGGUGAGUAACGCGUAGGUAACCUGCCUGGUAGCGGGGGGUAACUAUUGGAAACGCUAGCUAAUACCGCAUGAUAUUGAUUAUUGCAUGAUAAUUGAUUGAAGGAUGCUAUUGCAUCACUACCAGAUGGACCUUCGUUGUAUUAGCUAGUAGGUGAGGUAACGGCGCACCUAGGUGACGAUACAUAGCCGACCGGAUAUGGUGAGCAGCCACACUGGGACUGAGACACGGCACAGACUGCCUCAGAAAGGAGCAGGAGGGCAACUUCGGGCAUGGGCGGAAGUCAGAGCGCGCAACGCCGAGGGAGGGAAGAAGGUUGUCGGGUCGGAAAUCACGGUUGUAAGGGAAGAAAGGGUGUGAGAGUGGAACGUACACACUGUGACGGUAACUGACCAAAAAGCAACGGCUAACUACGUG